AUGUUUUUGCGAAAAUUAGCGAAACAGUCGCUGCCUACAAACGAUGUACGAGCGCACCGGCAUAUGGCAGAUUCUAGCCUGUGCGGGUUCUGUGGAGUACAAGACUCAUGGCGACAUUCGUUAUUGGAGUGCACCAUAUCGCGGAGUGUAUGGACGUUGGGAGAUGAGGAAGUGCUGCAUAAAAUCAUGGCGACUACAGAACCUAAUGCAAAGAAUUGGCUGUUCACUUUGAUCGAGAGCCUGUCGCAGGAUAGUUUUGCGUUGCUGGCGGUCAUGGCGUGGUCGAUAUGGCAUGCUCGACGUAAAGCUAUUCAUGAGGCAAUCUUCCAAAGUCCCCAUCAGACACACUCCUUCAUCACAAGUUUCACGGCAGAGCUCGGUGUGAUUAAUGAUUCAAACCGAUGCCCCCGAAAAGGAGCGAUCCAGCCACCGCAACAAAGACAAAACCCUAAGAAACCACCUCCCGGAGCAUACAAAAUACAUGUUGAUGCAGCUGGUCGCGCUAGAAGAGGAGGAGCGGCUGCUGCAGUUUGCAGAGAUGAAGCAGGGAAUUAUAUUGGGUCUUCGGAGUUGGUUCUUGAGGGUGUCACCGGCCCUGCAUCUUUGGAGACGAUAGCAUGCCGGGAGGCAUUGUCCUUGGCGGAGGACCUCAACAUCCACAACUUUGUCAUUGCAUCUGAUUGCAAACAGUCAGAUAUUGGCCACAAUGCGGGAGGAAGAUAUGGAGCAAUUAUCAGUGAGAUUUGCUUUAGAACUGUUAAUGUCCAAUGUAAAUUUACUUUUGAGUGUCGUGCUACGAACUAUGAAGCACACGGUUUAGCUAAAUUUUCCCUUUCUAGAGGUCCCGGUCGCCACGUCUGGUUUGGCGUUCCGUACGACCUCACUCGUAUCCCACUUCAGGUGGCUUUUGAUGAAUAA
RNAcentral lists this ribosomal RNA (918 nucleotides) under Triticum aestivum (bread wheat). RNAcentral's name for it is "partial small subunit ribosomal RNA". Lineage: Eukaryota; Viridiplantae; Streptophyta; Magnoliopsida; Poales; Poaceae. The record is from RNAcentral.